RNAcentral lists this non-coding RNA (892 nucleotides) under Rhombosepion orbignyanum. Its description in RNAcentral is "12S ribosomal RNA". The stretch from base 482 to 885 matches the Rfam family "Microsporidia small subunit ribosomal RNA", at positions 752 to 1303 of the family's 1311-position model. The record is from RNAcentral. Lineage: Eukaryota; Metazoa; Mollusca; Cephalopoda; Sepiida; Sepiidae.
AAAUAAUUUGGCUUUAGUUAAUAUAUAAAUUAUUAUUAAAUAAUAUAUGUUAAGUUUAAGUGUUAUUGUCUUAUCUUUAGUAUUUUGAGUAUGAUUGUUUAAUACAUUUAUGUUAAAAAUAUAAUUAUAUUAAUAUUUUAUUAAAAUAAUUUUUAAAGGUUACGCAGUAUUUAUUGUUAUACAAUUAAUGAGAGUUUGAUAUAGUUAAUAUAAAAUAAAGGUGGAUUAAUUUGUGCCAGCAUCCGCGGUUAUACAAAUACCUUAAAUUUAUAUAAUAUAGUAUAAAGAAAAGUGAUAGAUUAUUAUGAUUAGAGCAUAUUGAGAGUAGUAAUUAUAGGUAAAAUUUAAAUAUUAUUAUUAAUUUAAUUCUUCUAAAAUUAAAUCUUUGAAAGUAGAUUAUUAAAAACUAGGAUUAGAUACCCUACUAUUUCUUAUCUUAAAAAUUUUUUUAUUUAAGUAGUGUAAAUGUUAAUUAUAUUAUGUGUAUUUGAAACUUAAAAAGCUUGGCGGUGUUAUAAACCCAUUUAGGGGAGCUUGUUUAUUAAUUUGAUAAUCCUCAAUUAAUUCUUACUUUUUUUUGAAUGAGCAGUUUGUGUAUUGCUGUCGUCAGUUUAUUUCGUAAGAAUAGCUAAAGGACUUAAAAAUAUUUAAAUUAAAAUGUCAAGUCAAAAUGCAGCUUAUGGAAAAGGUUUAUAGAAUGAGCUACAAUUUAUAGAUUUUAAUUGGAUUGAAUUUUGUAAAAGUUUAUAAAUUUGGACUUAAUAGUAAUAUAUAAUUAGUAUGUUUAUAUGAAUAUGGUUUUAUAACGCGUACAUAUCGCCCGUCGCUCUUGUUGACAAAAUAAGAUAAGUCGUAACAUAGUAGGGGUAGUGGAAGCUGUUCCUGGGCUAAA